This 84-nucleotide transfer RNA is filed under the name Shivajiella indica. Its description in RNAcentral is "tRNA-Leu". It matches the Rfam family "tRNA". Rfam says of the family: Transfer RNA (tRNA) molecules are approximately 80 nucleotides in length. Lineage: Bacteria; Pseudomonadati; Bacteroidota; Cytophagia; Cytophagales; Cyclobacteriaceae. The record is from RNAcentral. RNAcentral also lists the same sequence under 3 other names.
GCGCACGUGGUGAAAUUGGUAGACACGCUACUUUGAGGGGGUAGUGCCCGUUCGGGCGUGGAAGUUCGACUCUUCUCGUGCGCA